This 503-nucleotide ribosomal RNA is filed under the name Erinaceusyllis horrocksensis. RNAcentral describes it as "Erinaceusyllis horrockensis partial 16S ribosomal RNA". It matches the Rfam family "Bacterial large subunit ribosomal RNA", at positions 1811 to 2622 of the family's 2925-position model. Lineage: Eukaryota; Metazoa; Annelida; Polychaeta; Phyllodocida; Syllidae. The record is from RNAcentral.
AAACAUUGCUGAGGGAAUUGUCAAUCCUCAGUAGAUCUGCCCUAUGUGUGUCCCGCAUAAAUGGCCGCAGUACCCUGACUGUGCAAAGGUAGCAUAUAAUAAGCCUCUUAAUUAGGGGAUAGAAUGAAAGAACCAACAUAGUAAUGCCUGUCUCUACACUAAAAAUAAAAAUUUUCAUGGAGGUGCAAAGACCUCCAUAUAACAAUCAGACAAACAGUCCCUAAAAGCUAAAAACACAACCCUACUAUAAAGAAUAAAAUUUUGCUGGGGAAGUAUGUCGUGUGACACGACACACCUAUAAGAAUAAUUAAUCAUAAACCUUACCUAACACACAACUCAAACAGCUACUUUAGGGAUAACAGGCUUAUAGUUUUAGAGAGCCCACAUCAAUAAAACUGUUUGGCACCUCGAUGUUGGCUUAGGGCACCUACUAAUCGCAAAAGAUUAAUAAGGGGGUUUGUUCAACCUUUAAAUCCCUACAUGAUCUGAGUUCAAACCGGAGA